GAUGAACGCUGGCGGCGUGCCUAAUACAUGCGAGUCGAACGCUGAAGGAGGAGCUUGCUCUUCUGGAUGAGUUGCGAACGGGUGAGUAACGCGUAGGUAACCUGCCUGGUAGCGGGGGAUAACUAUUGGAAACGAUAGCUAAUACCGCAUGACAACAGUUAUUGCAUGAUAACUGUUUAAAAGGGGCAACUGCUCCACUACCAGAUGGACCUGCGUUGUAUUAGCUAGUUGGUGAGGUAACGGCUCACCAAGGCGACGAUACAUAGCCGACCUGAGAGGGGGAUCGGCCACACUGGGACUGAGACACGGCCCAGACUCCUACGGGAGGCAGCAGUAGGGAAUCUUCGGCAAUGGACGGAAGUCUGACCGAGCAACGCCGCGUGAGUGAAGAAGGUUUUCGGAUCGUAAAGCUCUGUUGUAAGAGAAGAACGAGUGUGAGAGUGGAAAGUUCACACUGUGACGGUAUCUUACCAGAAAGGGACGGCUAACUACGUG
Molecule: ribosomal RNA, 495 nt
Filed under: uncultured bacterium
Lineage: Bacteria
Description: partial 16S ribosomal RNA
Rfam family: Bacterial small subunit ribosomal RNA
Source: RNAcentral